UACGAGUACCCCAAGCGUUAUCCGGAAUCAUUGGGCGUAAAGGGUGUGUAGGUGGCGGUAUUAGUCUUCUGUUAAAAUCCCGAGCUCAACUCGGGACUUGCAGUGGAAACGGUACUGCUCGAGGAUGCGAGAGGUGAAUGGAACUCAUGGAGUAGGGGUGAAAUCCGUUGAUAUCAUGGGGAACACCAAAAGCGAAGGCAAUUCACUGGCGCAUUCCUGACACUGAGACACGAAAGCGUGGGUAGCGAACGGG
This 253-nucleotide ribosomal RNA is filed under the name uncultured bacterium. RNAcentral describes it as "partial 16S ribosomal RNA". It matches the Rfam family "Bacterial small subunit ribosomal RNA", at positions 524 to 776 of the family's 1533-position model. The record is from RNAcentral.